Nothobranchius furzeri (turquoise killifish) is the source of this 1600-nucleotide non-coding RNA. The record is from RefSeq and is a predicted model, not a curated record. Lineage: Eukaryota; Metazoa; Chordata; Actinopteri; Cyprinodontiformes; Nothobranchiidae.
GAGGCUGGAUAACACACAUUGAUGGAAAUUGUGUGUGUUCUGUUGGACCAGAUUGCUGCCAAUAAAAGCAAGUUGAAGAAUAAUCUGGUGCCAUAAUCUGCUUUUUGGUGAAUAUGGAGCACAAGAGUGAUGACACAAAUUGUCCAGACCACAUCUACUGAACAGCCUCUUCAGUCUAUCCCUGUGGACGUGGCAGACUGCAGUGCUGUUGAGCCUCAGCUGUGUCAUUGUUGACCUCAGCCAGGUCUUCAACCGUCGCAGAGCUCUGAAACUCCUUUCAGCCUCACAGGAUGACACUGGGACCACAAUUAACAGUCUCACCAGAGUCUCAACUUGUGAGAAGAGCCCUCUGACCUCUGGUUGCAUCCCUCUAAGAAUUUGGACAGCCUCUUUGCAGGAAGUGUAGGUAUGAUUUGCUUUAAACAUUGCCAACUGAAUUAGCAUUUUUUGCAGGUCCAGUUCUGGAUACAGGCUCACCAUAUCAUUGGUCUUUCCAGUAAGCAGCAGCUCCUCCAGCUUGUUCAGAUUUUCCAGGCUCGGCUGGUCAAAGCGAUCAUGUAGCUGGGUGAUCACUGUGUCAAUGGCACUGAAAAAAUGGACCCGGAAAUACUCCUCUGGUGUCGCAGGAGUAUGAUGCUUGGCUGGACCACCAUAUUUUCUGGAUAUUCGGACAUGAGGUGGGUGUACUGGCUGGAGGUCCAAGUCUGCAACAAGUCUCACAGCUUUACCAUAGAUGCCCAUGAAACUUAUCAUUAGUCCUCAAAGAGAGAAAGCCCUGUCUGGUGUAUUCAACAGCUUUCAGCAUUCCACUGAUGGUUUUUCCUCUUGCCUGCAGACUCAAGUUCAGGUCCUCCAAAAUCCAGGAUCUCUUGUCCCAGGAGAAGGCCAAGAAUGGUGUUGCCCUUUUCCAGUCUGUCAAGUAGGCCGUUAGCUUUAGAAGCAGUACUGUCAGUGAGAUUUGUAGAUGCCAUCUCUUCCAGGGCAGCCAAGAUGGACUCAUAUUGAGUCAAGACUGCUCUGAUUGCUGGUGUGCGCACAGUCCAUCUGGUGGCACACAGAGGCUUGAUGGAAGUGAAGGAGCCAUUUUUUUAUGUGCAUAUGUCUUUGAAUAUAGUUUUGCAUUUGCUAGACUGAACGAACAAGCAGCCCAGCUCAUGUACCCACUGCAGAGCAUCCCUGAUCACAGGUGUGGAGGUACAUGCAGCCUGUGUGACAAGGUUCACAUAGUGUGGGCCACAGUGGACAAAGGUGGCCAAUGAUUGCUCUCUUCUAAUCUGAGCUUGUAACCCUGACAGGUGCCCCGACAUGUUGGCUGCUCCAUCAUAGGUCUGUCCACGUAGGCCUGAGAAAGGCAGGUUUAGACGGAGAAGCACAUCAGAGGCGAUUUUAAAAAGGUGCUUGCCAGUAGGCUCCAGGCCAUCAUCAACAUACCGGAGGCAUAUUGAAAUCUGUUCGGUGCCAGAUAUAUCCUGGGUCCCAUCCAUUAUCAGAGAGAACUGCAGUACAGGACUUGUGUAGGAAUGAUUCUUCUGCAGCCAGCUUGCCAGAUUGAGGUCAUUCUCAGCCUUCUCAUCCAGAUGCUGCUUGAAGUUUCCGUCAU